CGUGCCUAAUACAUGCAAGUCGAACGCAUUGUGGUUGAAAUGAUAUGAAGAACUUGUUCAGAUUUGAUUUCAACAUUGCAAUGAGUGGCGAACGGGUGAGUAACACGUGGGAAACCUACCUCUUAGCAGGGGAUAACAUUUGGAAACAAUGCUAAUACCGUAUAAUAAUUAAAACCGCAUGGUUUUAGUUUAAAAGAUGGUCUUGCUAUCACUAAGAGAUGGUCCCGCGGUGUAUUAGUUAGUUGGUGAGGUAAUGGCUCACCAAGACAAUGAUACAUAGCCGAGUUGAGAGACUGACCGGCCACAAUGGGACUGAGACACGGCCCAUACUCCUACGGGAGGCAGCAGUAGGGAAUCUUCCACAAUGGACGAAAGUCUGAUGGAGCAACGCCGCGUGUGUGAUGAAGGGUUUCGGCUCGUAAAACACUGUUGUAAGAGAAGAAUGACAUUGAGAGUAACUGUUCAAUGUGUGACGGUAUCUUACCAGAAAGGAACGGCUAAAUACGUG
Molecule: ribosomal RNA, 508 nt
Filed under: uncultured bacterium
Lineage: Bacteria
Description: bacterial SSU rRNA
Rfam family: Bacterial small subunit ribosomal RNA
Source: RNAcentral